RNAcentral lists this ribosomal RNA (733 nucleotides) under Pezizomycotina sp. T32602FW1. Its description in RNAcentral is "SSU rRNA". It matches the Rfam family "Eukaryotic small subunit ribosomal RNA", at positions 194 to 934 of the family's 1831-position model. The record is from RNAcentral. Lineage: Eukaryota; Fungi; Ascomycota.
GGAAGGGGUGUAUUUAUUAGAUAAAAAACCAACGCCCUUCGGGGCUCCUUGGUGAAUCAUAAUAACUUAACGAAUCGCAUGGCCUUGCGCCGGCGAUGGUUCAUUCAAAUUUCUGCCCUAUCAACUUUCGAUGGUAGGAUAGUGGCCUACCAUGGUGGCAACGGGUAACGGGGAAUUAGGGUUCGAUUCCGGAGAGGGAGCCUGAGAAACGGCUACCACAUCCAAGGAAGGCAGCAGGCGCGCAAAUUACCCAAUCCCGAUACGGGGAGGUAGUGACAAUAAAUACUGAUACGGGGCUCUUUCGGGUCUCGUAAUUGGAAUGAGAACAAUUUAAAUCCCUUAACGAGGAACAAUUGGAGGGCAAGUCUGGUGCCAGCAGCCGCGGUAAUUCCAGCUCCAAUAGCGUAUAUUAAAGUUGUUGCAGUUAAAAAGCUCGUAGUUGAACCUUGGGCCUGGCUGGCCGGUCCGCCUCACCGCGAGUACUGGUCCGGCUGGGCCUUUCCUUCUGGGGAACUCAUGGCCUUCACUGGCUGUGGGGGGAACCAGGACUUUUACUGUGAAAAAAUUAGAGUGUUCAAAGCAGGCCUUUGCUCGAAUACAUUAGCAUGGAAUAAUAGAAUAGGACGUGCGGUUCUAUUUUGUUGGUUUCUAGGACCGCCGUAAUGAUUAAUAAGGGAUAGUCCGGGGCGUCAGUAUUCAGCUGUCAAAAGUGAAAUUCUUGGGAUUUCUGAAA